ACCGUCUGGGCGUUCUCUCCAGAGAAUCUGCAAUCCAGGCGGACAGAAACCGUGGUUGGCGAAGGAGAGAGGUCGCCCGGCCUGGGUUCAGGAGCGUCCUGGUCAGAGACGAGGGGUUCCCACCUACUAGUCUGGGCAUAACCAGAAGGAGACGAGUGACUUCGAGAGUCCCACGCCCGGAGAAGGCGGAGUUUGAGUUCCGAUAAGUGCCCUGAAGACCCAUUUGAGCACAGUCUGAGAGUCGGGCAUGACAUCAAGGAAUGAGGAUGUGAGAAAGGCGUGAUAGGAAGAAGGCACGGCCUGGACAAAGGGACCAGGAUCCCUGUUGGAAGGACGAUCCCCAGGCCUCACUGCAGGGCUGCUUCCUUCUUGGAACCCGGCUGGGCAGCGGUCUUCAGAGCGCGCAGGGUCCCUGGGUGGCCUCAGGUGCCCAGGUGCGAAGUUGGAUGGGCUGGGGGCUCCAAGAGGGCCUGCUCCUGGCUCCCCAGGGGUUUCCAUGGCGGGGAGCUCCUUCGGUUUCUCCUGGGACUCAGAAAGACAAGCCAGCCCCCAAGGCAAGAGC
Molecule: long non-coding RNA, 562 nt
Organism: Rhinolophus ferrumequinum (greater horseshoe bat)
Lineage: Eukaryota; Metazoa; Chordata; Mammalia; Chiroptera; Rhinolophidae
Exons: 4
Source: RefSeq, a predicted model, not a curated record